GAUGAACGCUGGCGGCGUGCCUAAUACAUGCAAGUCGAGCGAACGGACGAGAAGCUUGCUUCUCUGAUGUUAGCGGCGGACAGGUGAGUAACACGUGGAUAACCUACCUAUAAGACUGGGAUAACUUCGGGAAACCGGAGCUAAUACCGGAUGAUAUUUUGAACCGCAUGGUUCAAAAGUGAAAGACGGUCUUGCUGUCACUUAUAGAUGGAUCCGCGCUGCAUUAGCUAGUUGGUAAGGUAACGGCUUACCAAGGCAACGAUGCAUAGCCGACCUGAGAGGGUGAUCGGCCACACUGGAACUGAGACACGGUCCAGACUCCUACGGGAGGCAGCAGUAGGGAAUCUUCCGCAAUGGGCGAAAGCCUGACGGAGCAACGCCGCGUGAGUGAUGAAGGUCUUCGGAUUGUAAAACUCUGUUAUUAGGGAAGAACAUAUGUGUAAGUAACUGUGCACAUCUUGACGGUACCUAAUCAGAAAGCCACGGCUAACUACGUG
This 497-nucleotide ribosomal RNA is filed under the name uncultured bacterium. RNAcentral describes it as "partial 16S ribosomal RNA". It matches the Rfam family "Bacterial small subunit ribosomal RNA", at positions 28 to 507 of the family's 1533-position model. The record is from RNAcentral.